GGUUUGAUCAUAAGCUCAGAUUGAACGCUGGCAGGAUGCUUUACAUGCAAGUCGAACGGCAGCACGGACUUCGGUCUGGUGGCGAGUGGCGAGCGGGUGGUAAUGUAUCGGAACGUGCCUGUGCCGGGGAUGACUUUGCGCUGGCGCCUUCAAUGCCACGCUGCGCCGCUGGAAAGCAGGGACCUUCUGGGCUCGCACUGUGAGCGGCCGAUAUCAGAUUGUGGUGGUGAGUAACGACUCGCAAGCGACGAUCCAGCAACUGAUUUGAAAGGACGACCAACCACACUGGGACUGAGACACGGCGAACUCCGCAAGGAAGGCAGCAGUGGAAAUUUUACGGACAAUGGAAACCUGAUCCAGCCAUCCCGCGGCGGUAAUGCGAUGAAGGCCUUCAGGUUGUAAAGCACUUUUUGGCAGGAAAGAAACGGCACGGGAUAAUACCCAUUCGCUGACCGUACCGCAGAAGAAUAAGCACCUACGGCUAACUACGUGUAUAAGCCGCUGAUAAUACGUAGGGUGCAAGCGUUAAUCGGAAUUACUGGGCGUAAAGCGUGCGCGAGCGGUUCGGAAAGAAGAUGUAAUCAGGCUUAACUUUUGGAACUGCAUUUUUAACUACCGAGCUAGAAGUGUCAGAAGGGAGGUGGAAUUCCGCGAUGUGGCGAUGAAAUGCGUAAAGAUAUGCGGAGGAACACCGAUAGCGAGCAGCCUCCUGGGAUAACGCGGCAGCAAACGAAGCGUGGGAGCAAGAAGCAAGAUUAGAUACCCUGGUAGUCCACGCCCUAAACGAUGUCAGCAGCUGUUGGGGCCUUCGGGCUUGCGGUAGCGCAACUAACGCGUGAAGUUGACCGCCUGGGAAGUACGGUCUGGAAUUAAACUCAAAGAAUUGACGGACCCGCACAAGCGGUGGAUGAUGUGGAUUAAUUCGAUGCAACGCGAAAACCUUACCUACCUUGACAUAUCUGGAAUCCCGAAGAUUUGAGUGCUCGCAGAACUUGAGUUACAGGUGCUAUAGCUGUCGUCAGCUCGUGUCGUGAGAUGUUGAGUUAAGUCCGCAACGAGCGCAACCCUUGUCAUUGGUUGCUACGAAGGGCCUCAUAGAACUGCCGGUGACAAACCGGAGGAAGGUGGGGAUGACGUCGGAAUCCUCAUGGCCCUUAUGGGUGGGGCUUCACACGUCAUACAAUGGUCGGGACAGAGGGUCGCCCAACCCGCGAGGAGCCAAUCCAGAAGCCCGAUCGUAGUCGGAUCACAGUCUGCAACUCGACUGUGAAGUCAGAAUCGCUAAUAAUCGCGGAUCAACAUGUCGCGGUGAAUACACGUUCCCGGAGUCUUAUACCUGCCGCCCGUCACACCGCCAGAAUUGGUUUUACCGAAGUAGUUAGCUAACCGUAAGGAGGCGAUUGCAGUAGGAUUCAUGACUGGGGUGAAGUCGUAACAAGGCUAA
RNAcentral lists this ribosomal RNA (1444 nucleotides) under uncultured Bordetella sp. Its description in RNAcentral is "partial 16S-23S ribosomal RNA intergenic spacer". It matches the Rfam family "Bacterial small subunit ribosomal RNA". Lineage: Bacteria; Pseudomonadati; Pseudomonadota; Betaproteobacteria; Burkholderiales; Alcaligenaceae. The record is from RNAcentral.